UUGGGGAGGGGAAUGGGGUCUAGUGGUUAGGGUGGGCUGCCUGCGGGGAUGGUGGUUGGGGGGGUGUUUGUGCCCAUCUCUCAUUGCAUCUCCCCUUGCUCGCCCCCUGCAGGCAGCAAUCUGCGUUGCAGACAAUGUGCCCUGAACGAGCCCUACAUCGGUUGCCUCCCCGGAGUCUCUGAGUGCACCCCUAAGGCCGGGCAUCCAUGCAUGACUGUCAACAUCGGCUAUAGAGGUGAGGUGCAGUUCCUCCUCCAGGGCUGCAUCAUGAAUCCCAGCCGCUGCGGGAUGGUGAAGGAGUUGAUGGUUCCCGAGUACCACAUCAACAUCACCUGCUGCUCCCACGCCUCCUUCUGCAACGAGUGGGUCCCGCUGCCCCCUGGCAAGGGAGGGCACUGAGUCUGGCCUGCCGCCUGCCGCCUACCACCCUCUUCCAUCCCUGUCUGUCCUCCGUCCCGGUCCCCAUCCCUCCUCCCCCUCCUGCAGUUCUCCAGCCAUCUUAUUCC
Chrysemys picta bellii (western painted turtle) is the source of this 506-nucleotide long non-coding RNA. The record is from Ensembl. NCBI's taxonomy places the organism in Eukaryota, Metazoa, Chordata, Testudines, Emydidae.